CCUACGGGUGGCAGCAGUGGGGGAUAUUGCACAAUGGGGGGAACCCUGAUGCAGCGACGCCGCGUGGGCGAAGAAGCGCCUCGGCGCGUAAAGCCCUGUCAGCAGGGAAGAAAAUGACGGUACCUGAAGAAGAAGCCCCGGCUAACUACGUGCCAGCAGCCGCGGUAAUACGUAGGGGGCAAGCGUUAUCCGGAUUUACUGGGGCGAAAGGGGGCGCAGACGGCGAUGCAAGCCAGGAGUGAAAGCCCGGGGCCCAACCCCGGGACUGCUCGUGGAACUGCGUGGCUGGAGUGCAGGAGGGGCAGGCGGAAUUCCUGGUGUAGCGGUGAAAUGCGUAGAUAUCAGGAGGAACACCGGUGGCGAAGGCGGCCUGCUGGACUGCAACUGACGUUGAGGCCCGAAAGCGUGGGGAGCAAACAGGAUUAGAUACCCUUGUAGUC
RNAcentral lists this ribosomal RNA (440 nucleotides) under uncultured bacterium. RNAcentral describes it as "partial 16S ribosomal RNA". It matches the Rfam family "Bacterial small subunit ribosomal RNA", at positions 338 to 795 of the family's 1533-position model. The record is from RNAcentral.